UAAAGUUUCUUGAAUAGACCACUGCCUCCCCAGGUAACCACUAACAGACUUCGACGUCGGCUUAAAGUCUGGUAAGGCUAUAUACGACUACGGAGUCUGUCAAGGCAAAUUGGUUCAAGACACUGCUAUUUUAUACCAUUUACACCUUUCGAGAAGCAAAUUAUCCAAGUAUCCUUUGAUUUGUGGUGAAGCACCAAUGUGUCUAUGUGUUGGCACGUGAAGUAAACGUUUGAUCUGUACGUGAACUGACCAACGAAAUUUGGACCAGAGAGAUACAAAAGCUCUCGAAACAGGGUAGAAAGAAGGCGUCCCACAUCGGAAAUCCGUACCACCGUGGUCUGAACCCUAAGUUAGUUUUUUUGAUAUUGAGGAACAGUGCCAUUCCCAUAGUGCUCCCCUUGCUCCUGUACGGUACCUCCUGUUGGACGGUACACCAACGAAAACUGGACUUAUUGUUUACGAUUGUCCACCUGGCGGAAGAAGGAAUGCAAGAAGAUUUGAUUGCUGCGAAAAGCGACAUGAAAGGGAUACGUUAAGGAACAAUCAAAGCUAUGCGGAACAGGAGGGAAAACACAUCAGUAUUAUCGAGAAGAAGGCAAAUUUAAAUAGUCUGGGCGCAACCACUCCAGCUUUACAAGAAUUUCAAGCCAAUCAUACGACAUCUCACCACAUACGCAGU
This is a long non-coding RNA of Anopheles gambiae (African malaria mosquito), 679 nucleotides long. RefSeq lists it as uncharacterized. The transcript is spliced from 3 exons. The record is from RefSeq and is a predicted model, not a curated record. Lineage: Eukaryota; Metazoa; Arthropoda; Insecta; Diptera; Culicidae.